Molecule: ribosomal RNA, 492 nt
Filed under: uncultured bacterium
Lineage: Bacteria
Description: partial 16S ribosomal RNA
Rfam family: Bacterial small subunit ribosomal RNA
Source: RNAcentral
AGUGAACGCUGGCGGUAGGCCUAACACAUGCAAGUCGAACGGCAGCACAGUAAGAGCUUGCUCUGACGGGUGGCGAGUGGCGGACGGGGGAGGAAUACAGCGGAAUCUACUUUUUCGUGGGGGAUAACGUGGGGAAACUUACGCUAAUACCGCAUACGACCUACGGGGGAAAGCAGGGGAUCUUCGGACCUUGCGCGAUUGAAUGAGCCGAUGUCGGAUUAGCUAGUUGGCGGGGUAAAGGCCCACCAAGGCGACGAUCCGUAGCUGGUCUGAGAGGAUGAUCAGCCACACUGGAACUGAGACACGGUCCAGACUCCUACGGGAGGCAGCAGUGGGGAAUAUUGGACAAUGGGCGCAAGCCUGAUCCAGCCAUACCGCGUGGGUGAAGAAGGCCUUCGGGUUGUAAAGCCCUUUUGUUGGGAAAGAAAAGCAGCAGGUUAAUACCCCGCUGUUCUGACGGUACCCAAAGAAUAAGCACCGGCUAACUUCGUG